RNAcentral lists this ribosomal RNA (232 nucleotides) under uncultured bacterium. RNAcentral describes it as "partial 16S ribosomal RNA". It matches the Rfam family "Bacterial small subunit ribosomal RNA", at positions 15 to 236 of the family's 1533-position model. The record is from RNAcentral.
GAUCCUGGCUCAGGAUGAACGCUAGCUACAGGCUUAACACAUGCAAGUCGAGGGGGAACGACGUCGAAAGCUUGCUUUUGAUGGGCGUCGACCGGCGCACGGGUGAGUAACGCGUAUCCAACCUGCCCAUCACUUGGGAAUAGCCUUGCGAAAGUAAGACUAAUGCCCAAUGAUAUCCCACGAAGGCAUCCGAAUGGGAUUAAAGAUUUAUCGGUGAUGGAUGGGGAUGCGU